UCCCUGGUGGCUCAGAUGGUAAAGAAUCUGCCUGCGAUGCAGGAGACCCAGGUUUGAUCCCUGGGUAGGGAA
This 72-nucleotide transfer RNA is filed under the name Bos taurus (domestic cattle). It matches the Rfam family "tRNA". Rfam says of the family: Transfer RNA (tRNA) molecules are approximately 80 nucleotides in length. Their secondary structure includes four short double-helical elements and three loops (D, anti-codon, and T loops). Lineage: Eukaryota; Metazoa; Chordata; Mammalia; Artiodactyla; Bovidae. RNAcentral also lists the same sequence under 3 other names. The record is from Rfam by way of RNAcentral.